Long non-coding RNA from Pseudopipra pipra, 826 nucleotides. RefSeq lists it as uncharacterized. The record is from RefSeq and is a predicted model, not a curated record. Lineage: Eukaryota; Metazoa; Chordata; Aves; Passeriformes; Pipridae. The transcript is spliced from 3 exons.
UCCUCAUAGGAGUGAUGCUCCAUCCCUCUGAUCAUCUUGGUGGCCCCCUCUGGACUUGCUCCCAGAGGCUGGUGUCCUUCCUGUGCUGGACCCCCAGAGCUGGAUGAAGUACUCAGUUUUGUCACUGUCAUUUCUGCGUCCAUAAAUUUGGCUAAAAUUUAAGAGAAUGUGUGCAGGAUUUUGUGUGUUCUUAAAUAAUCAAGAAACAGUCUGGGGCACCAUCCAGAUACCUUUCAUAUGCCACUUGAGAUAAGAUCCUUACCAUGGAUGUGGAAGUGUUUCCACUCCUGACUUGGGAUAUGAUCCAAUAUGAUUCAAUAGGAGACCAUUUCCCACCUGGAAUGGAUAAUUUCAAGCAGUUUUAAAGAUCUCCUGGUAUAGCUUGGAGAACUGCCAUAACUCCCUGCCCUGCAUAUUCUGAAGUUCAAUUCCACCUACAUGCACUGCAGGACAUGCAGCUGGGGGUGCAUGUCUAUCACAGGUUCUUUUUCUGUUCAUGGACAUGACAUUUCUUUAAGAAAUUAGUUGGAAAGUCGAUGGUGCUGGAAAAACUAUUGUCUUUCUGUGCAGCAUUGUCAGAACUUAUGUGCUACAGGGAAAACGAAAGGGAAUUGCAUGAAUAAAAAUACAUGCUGCAUUGGCGACACUGGAAAUGACAAAUGUUGCUUCAGGGAAAAAAAAAACAACACACCACAAAAAAACCCAAACCAAAACAAAAAAAUCCCCAUAGAUCUUGCAACACCUUUUCCCUUUCUGUAUAGAAAUCCCUACUUUUCACUUUUUAAAUUUUCAUUUUCUUGAAUAAAUAAACUGUUUUUCUUGUUAA